Small nucleolar RNA from Anastrepha obliqua, 138 nucleotides. RefSeq annotates it as small nucleolar RNA psi18S-1377. The record is from RefSeq and is a predicted model, not a curated record. NCBI's taxonomy places the organism in Eukaryota, Metazoa, Arthropoda, Insecta, Diptera, Tephritidae. The transcript has a single exon.
UCGUCCCUGUGUUGUUUGCUGAUUGAUUGUUCAAAAUCAGUGAUUGUCAGACGGGACAUACAUUAAAUUCCAAUGUCUCGUUAUUGUCUUCAAAUCGCACACUAUGCAUGAAGGCAUCUCCAUACAUUGGUAACAAUC